AUACGUAGGGAGCGAGCGUUGUCCGGAAUUACUGGGUGUAAAGGGAGCGUAGGCGGGACUGCAAGUCAGAUGUGAAAUACCGGGGCUUAACCCCGGAGCUGCAUUUGAAACUGUGGUUCUUGAGUGAAGUAGAGGCAAGCGGAAUUCCUGGUGUAGCGGUGAAAUGCGUAGAUAUCAGGAGGAACACCGGUGGCGAAGGCGGCUUGCUGGGCUUUUACUGACGCUGAGGCUCGAAAGCGUGGGGAGCAAACAGGAUUAGAUACCCUGGUAGUCCACGCCGUAAACGAUGAUACUAGGUGUGGGGGGACUGACCCCUUCCGUGCCGCAGUUAACACAAUAAGUAAUCCACCUGGGGAGUACGGCCGCAAGGCUAAAACUCAAAUGAAUUGACGGGG
RNAcentral lists this ribosomal RNA (395 nucleotides) under uncultured bacterium. Its description in RNAcentral is "partial 16S ribosomal RNA". It matches the Rfam family "Bacterial small subunit ribosomal RNA", at positions 523 to 918 of the family's 1533-position model. The record is from RNAcentral.